UACGUAGGGCGCAAGCGUUGUCCGGAAUUAUUGGGCGUAAAGAGCUUGUAGGUGGCUUGUCGCGUCUGCCGUGAAAACCCGAGGCUCAACCUCGGGCGUGCGGUGGGUACGGGCAGGCUAGAGUGUGGUAGGGGAGACUGGAACUCCUGGUGUAGCGGUGAAAUGCGCAGAUAUCAGGAAGAACACCGAUGGCGAAGGCAGGUCUCUGGGCCAUUACUGACACUGAGAAGCGAAAGCAUGGGUAGCGAAC
RNAcentral lists this ribosomal RNA (250 nucleotides) under uncultured bacterium. Its description in RNAcentral is "partial 16S ribosomal RNA". It matches the Rfam family "Bacterial small subunit ribosomal RNA", at positions 524 to 773 of the family's 1533-position model. The record is from RNAcentral.